This 98-nucleotide small nuclear RNA is filed under the name Canis lupus familiaris (dog). RNAcentral's name for it is "U2 spliceosomal RNA (multiple genes)". It matches the Rfam family "U2 spliceosomal RNA". From Rfam's summary of the family: U2 is a small nuclear RNA (snRNA) component of the spliceosome (involved in pre-mRNA splicing). Complementary binding between U2 snRNA (in an area lying towards the 5' end but 3' to hairpin I) and the branchpoint sequence (BPS) of the intron results the bulging out of an unpaired adenosine, on the BPS, which initiates a nucleophilic attack at the intronic 5' splice site, thus starting the first of two transesterification reactions that mediate splicing. Lineage: Eukaryota; Metazoa; Chordata; Mammalia; Carnivora; Canidae. The record is from Rfam by way of RNAcentral. RNAcentral also lists the same sequence under 2 other names.
AUCGCUUCUCGGCCUUUUGGCUAAGAUCAAGUGUAGUAUCUGAUUUUCAAGUCUUUUUUUCCCUCAUUUUACUGAGGUAUAAUUGACAUAGAACCAGU